RNAcentral lists this long non-coding RNA (2944 nucleotides) under Podarcis lilfordi (Lilford's wall lizard). The record is from RNAcentral. Lineage: Eukaryota; Metazoa; Chordata; Lepidosauria; Squamata; Lacertidae.
CAUCAAAUUCAGAUGAUCAAUAGAAACUCUGGAUAUCUUGCCCAGAAAAGAGUUAAUCUUAUUUGGGACUUUGGGACCUGAUUCAUGCUACUAUCUUGGAGAUGCUAACCCACCAUAUUGUGACUCUUCCAUCUAAUGCUUUGAAGGGAAAUUCAUAUCAUAACAUUAUUUUUUACUAUUUUGCAGGACCUGGUAACUGUGUUACCAUAUGGAGACUUUUUCACAGGAGCCUUUUUGCCAGGUUAUAUAUUGAGGUGCAGAUCAUUUGAAAAUGCUUGUAAGAACCAUCUUGGUCGACCUCCUUCAAAUAAAUGAAAUUUACUUGCGGUUUUAACAAUAAUUAUGGAUUCUCAAAAGUGUAUCCACAUACCGUGAGGCUAAUUCCUGUCACCCUCAUUCCUCAACUUAACUUUUGACCACUCUAGUAUAAUGGUUCAAUGUUUCAAGAUUUGAGUCUGAGAAGGGAGGGAUUCCUGUUCUGUCUAUAGAUGGGGCACAUCCUCAACAGGAGCCCACAAACAGCUGUCCAGAAGGUUUAGCUAACAUUGCUAAGGAAGUUCUGCCCAAAUGGUGCUCACAUAUGGACCUCACCCUGGAUGAGAGGAGAAAUGCUGAAGUAUGGUGUAGUAAAUCGGUGACAGCCUAUACAUACCAAGCUUGCAAUUUUAACAAAUAAAAUGCAUUCGGUUCUUACAAUUGUUUGGGAGGAGCAGGCUCCAUUUGGGUAACAUCUAAUUUUGUGCUUGUGCUAAAGUAGCAGCUUUUUUUCUUUCUUUUGCUGCUAGAGGGCUCCAUUUUAGAAGUUGUUGCUGGUCUUAAUUUCAUUUCAGAAAAACACCUUAGAACACUUAAAUGCUUUCAUCAAGUUCCACUGAGCUUAUCCUGCUUGUGACAUCAUACACGGCCUCAGAAUUCCAUGUUUGCUUUUAACCUAAGUUAUCUCCAUGCCAACAGCAGUGACCAGUAAACUUCUGAAACAUAACCAUCAGCCUGCCUUUCCAGCAACUGGGACAUUUCCUUUUGCUUUUUUAUAUUAAAGCAUGAUGGAAGAGUUGUGUGUUGGCUGAAACCUUUUUGUGGACAUUUCAUUUCUCAGCCCAACUCCAGCUGUUGUUGCUGCUGCUUUCUGUUUGGUAUAAAUAACAAUCUCUAAGAGGACGAUUAUGAGAAUCUAUGAAAUUGAUCAGAGAGUGUGUCUGGAUCAACUAUUGUGAAGUUAUGUGUUUUAUAAGUGAGAUAGUUAAGAAGAUAGGCUUCUGCACCAGCUAAGGAACAAUGGAUACUUCCUAAAGGACUGAAUUCCUGCUUCCUUAAGGAUGGAGGCCAUUUUUUUGUAUUUUGUUUCUUUCUGAUAAUGAGGAUACAGCCAGCAAGAUUGGGUUACAAGCAUAUGUAUGUGUGUGUGUAAAUCUUGCUGACUGUAUUCUCUCUCUCUCUCUCUCUCUCUCUCUCUCUCUCUCUGUGUGUGUGUGUGUGUAUCUAUCUCCCCACCCUUUGCAUCCUACUUUCCCUCUCCAUUUCCCUCUCUCCUUUAUCCUCCUCCUCCAAUCUUCUUUCUGGCAGAGUCAUCUAGGGACAAAUGUCUAUUAAGACCAGGCUGGGAAGAGACUAUACCUAUAAAGAUGUGUCAUUCAUUCUUUUGGAUAAAAGUUGGUAGAUCCACUGCUGGAUUAAACUCUCUUCCUAUUAAUCAUGGAUAAUGAGACCUUUCAAGUAGAGCUAUAUUUUUCUUCAUCUCUUACAAAAUUCCAGCCCCAAUGCUGGAAGCUGUUUUGGAUUCCCAAGCAUUUUCUUUUUGUGGAAAUUACCCUUUCAGUCAUUAUCUCUUUUUUUCACCUUGUGAUUUGACUGCAUGCCAUGAGCCAAAGGAAGCCAAUGCUUGCCCUAAAGACCACUUCUUCACAACUUCCAUGAGAUAGAACUGUUUUUGAAAUUUUGACUGCAUGUCAACAUUUAUUUUAUGUCCUGGACAAUACUGAGGGGUUUUUUUUAAGAAGGACAAAGCUGCAAUCAUCUGUGGAGCAAUUAUAAAUUGGCCUUUUUGAAGAUGAUGGAGAGAUGUAACGUCUUGAAUGGCAAAAGACAAACAGCCACACCAGCAGAAAAAUUGAUAUACUUGUUAGAGACAUUGUUUCAUUUUUCCCCCCAGCAUGCUUUCUUUUAGCCAUGCACCUCUUAAUUCCAUAGUACAAAUUAUCCUGGUUUCACUUCCUUUUUCAUGGUUAAGAGUUUGUUUUGAAUAGUUUGUUUUCAUUAUAUAUUUGGAUUAUAUUAUAAUAAUUGUAAUGUUUGGAGAUUUGAAUUUCUUUAAUUAAAAAAUAAAACUUGUUUUUUCUUUUCAUAGACUUUUACUUUUGCAGGGGGGGGUAAUUUGACAUUCCCUCUCAUGUGCAUACACAAAAAGUUGUUCAUUAUAUUUGCUUUUUACCUUAGAUUCAUAUGCAGAAAUUCUCCAGAUACAAUCUGUAAAAUGACCAAGUUCCAACAGCCUUUGAUCAGUUUGGCUGGUACCACAGUUGGCAUAUUUGACUAACCUCAUAACAAAAGCCAGCCACUGAUGACAUGAUGGAGACCACAAUAGGAACCAAAAUCGCAUGGUUUGAUAUUUUAAUGUGUAGCUAGGGCAGGAAUGGCUUGCUAGUCUAUGGUCUCGGGAACAGGAGUAGAUAGCUCAACAUUUCAAGUAUCCAUUGGAUCCAUGCUGGGUUAAGAAGAUGGCACCUCAGAUGUUAGAAGGCAACAAGUAAAUAUCUUUAUGGGGACAAAUUCAGACAGUGGUAUCUCUCGUCCUAUAUAGUGGCCUUUCACCACUACCCCAGGUUAUAUCUCAUGGUGCACCAGGACAGACCCAUCAGGGAUCAUAGCCUCAGCUCUCUUUUGCUGCUCCUCUGCUGUUCUUUCCUAGCCUCUGGAUUUCUGUGAUAAAGAGCCUAGUUCUCCAAAU